AGCGCCGAAGCGGGAACGCACGAACGCGGCGCCCCAGCGCACCGCGGCGCACAGCUCGUCGGGGAGGAGCUCCCGUGCCAUGCCGCGCGCCAGCAUGGCGUACGCGCUCACCGAGGCCGCAGUGGCGAGCGCCUUCUUGUACGCAUCCACCACCGCUGCCCCUUCGGGCGAGGACGCCAUGCUUGUCUUUGGCAAGAAAUCCAUGGAUAACAAGGACUAAUAAUAUAUAGACAAAUAGAUCUCUCCCUGUUUCGAGUUCCGUCGCGUUGUGUUGCCAGCGUCCCCCCUUGUGUAUUUAUACUACAGAAGAGUACAAUCUUUCCAAACUCAACACGAGCACCACACGGAAACGACUCCGCCAACAACUCAAUUUCCC
This 376-nucleotide long non-coding RNA is filed under the name Hordeum vulgare. Its description in RNAcentral is "long non-coding RNA (HVUL_LNC003720)". The record is from RNAcentral. Lineage: Eukaryota; Viridiplantae; Streptophyta; Magnoliopsida; Poales; Poaceae.